RNAcentral lists this ribosomal RNA (511 nucleotides) under uncultured bacterium. RNAcentral describes it as "bacterial SSU rRNA". It matches the Rfam family "Bacterial small subunit ribosomal RNA", at positions 8 to 521 of the family's 1533-position model. The record is from RNAcentral.
AGAGUUUGAUCCUGGCUCAGGAUGAACGCGGCGGCGUGCCUAACACAUGCAAGUCGAGCGAGAAUUCCAUAAUUGAAGCUUCGGUUGAUUUUAUGGAAGGAAAGCGGCGGACGGGUGAGUAACGCGUAGGCAACCUACCUCUUGCAGAGGGAUAGCCUCGGGAAACCGGGAUUAAAACCUCAUAAUGCUGGGUUUAGACAUCUUUACCCAGCCAAAGAUUUAUCGGCAAGAGAUGGGCCUGCGUCUGAUUAGUUAGUUGGUGGGGUAACGGCCUACCAAGGCGACGAUCAGUAGCCGACCUGAGAGGGUGAUCGGCCACAUUGGAACUGAGACACGGUCCAAACUCCUACGGGAGGCAGCAGUGGGGAAUAUUGCACAAUGGGCGAAAGCCUGAUGCAGCAACGCCGCGUGAAGGAAGAAGGCCUUUGGGUCGUAAACUUCUGUUCUAAGGGAAGAUAAUGACGGUACCUUAGGAGCAAGUCCCGGCUAACUACGUGCCAGCAGCCGCGGU